RNAcentral lists this ribosomal RNA (509 nucleotides) under Porphyromonadaceae bacterium 62bF. RNAcentral's name for it is "bacterial SSU rRNA". It matches the Rfam family "Bacterial small subunit ribosomal RNA", at positions 1 to 527 of the family's 1533-position model. Lineage: Bacteria; Pseudomonadati; Bacteroidota; Bacteroidia; Bacteroidales; Porphyromonadaceae. The record is from RNAcentral.
UAGAGUUUGAUCAUGGCUCAGGAUGAACGCUAGCGACAGGCCUAACACAUGCAAGUCGAGGGGCAGCACGGUGUAGCAAUACACGGGUGGCGACCGGCGCACGGGUGAGUAACGCGUAUGCAACCUGCCUACUACAAGGGGAUAACCCGUUGAAAGACGGACUAAUACCCUAUAACACAGGGAAUCCGCAUGGAUAUAUUUGUUAAAGAUUUAUCGGUAGUAGAUGGGCAUGCGUUCCAUUAGCUUGUUGGUGAGGUAACGGCUCACCAAGGCAACGAUGGAUAGGGGAACUGAGAGGUUGAUCCCCCACACUGGAACUGAGACACGGUCCAGACUCCUACGGGAGGCAGCAGCAGGGAAUCUUGGGCAAUGGGCGAAAGCCUGACCCAGCGACGCCGCGUGGAGGAAGAAGUCCUUCGGGGCGUAAACUCCUGGACUGGGGGACGAGUAAGGACGGUACCCCAGUAGAAAGGGACGGCUAACUACGUGCCAGCAGCCGCGGUAAUACA